RNAcentral lists this ribosomal RNA (435 nucleotides) under uncultured bacterium. RNAcentral describes it as "partial 16S ribosomal RNA". It matches the Rfam family "Bacterial small subunit ribosomal RNA", at positions 29 to 507 of the family's 1533-position model. The record is from RNAcentral.
AGCGAACGCUGGCGGCAGGCUUAACACAUGCAAGUCGAACGGGCUUCUUCGGAGGUCGGUGGCAGACGGGUGAGUAACACGUGGGAACGUGCCCUUCGGUUCGGUAUAACUCAGGGAAACUUGAGCUAAUACCGGAUACGCCCUUAUGGGGAAAGGUUUAAUGCCGAAGGGUUGGCCCGCGUCUGAUUGGCUUGCUGGUAGGGUAACGGCCUACCAAGGCGACGAUCAGUAGCUGGUCUGAGAGGAAGGUCAGCGACACUGGGACUGAGACGCGGCCCAGAAUCCUACGGGAGGGAGCAGUGGGGAAUAGUGGAAAAUGGGCGCAAGGCUGAUGCAGCCAUGCCGCGUGAGUGAUGAAGGCAUUAGGGUUGUAAAGCUCUUGUGUCCGGGACGAUAAUGACGGUACCGGAAGAAUAAGCCCCGGCUAACUUCGUG